RNAcentral lists this ribosomal RNA (447 nucleotides) under uncultured bacterium. Its description in RNAcentral is "bacterial SSU rRNA". It matches the Rfam family "Bacterial small subunit ribosomal RNA", at positions 329 to 792 of the family's 1533-position model. The record is from RNAcentral.
UUCCAGACUCCUACGGGAGGCAGCAGUGAGGGAUAUUGGGCAAUGGGGGAAACCCUGACCCAGCGACGCCGCGUGAGGGAAGACGGUCUUCGGAUUGUAAACCUCUGUCUUUGGGGACGAAAAAGGACGGUACCCAAGGAGGAAGCUCCGGCUAACUACGUGCCAGCAGCCGCGGUAAUACGUAGGGAGCGAGCGUUGUCCGGAUUUACUGGGUGUAAAGGGAGCGUAGACGGCAUGGCAAGUCAGAUGUGAAAGCCCGGGGCUCAACCCCGGGACUGCAUUUGAAACUGUCAGGCUGGAGUGCAGGAGAGGUAAGUGGAAUUCCUAGUGUAGCGGUGAAAUGCGUAGAUAUUAGGAGGAACACCAGUGGCGAAGGCGGCUUACUGGACUGUAACUGACGCUGAGGCGCGAAAGCGUGGGUAGCGAACGGGAUUAGAUACCCGAGUA